Prunus avium (sweet cherry) is the source of this 973-nucleotide RNA transcript. RefSeq lists it as uncharacterized. The record is from RefSeq and is a predicted model, not a curated record. Lineage: Eukaryota; Viridiplantae; Streptophyta; Magnoliopsida; Rosales; Rosaceae.
UAUUUUACAACCAUCAGUUUUCAUCAUCGACUUAGAACUCUCUAAUUCUUGGUGAUCUUUUUGGCUAUAAAAUUAGAAAGGAAAAACUCUCUAAUUCUUCACCUCAUACAUACAUCAAGCGGCCAAAGUCUAAACAGAGAAAGAAAAGUCAGUGGGUCAGAAAAGAUUCUUGGGUUGGGAGGAUCAUCAUAUUUGGAGUGAUCAUGUUUACCAUUUCAAAGGGAUUUGCUGUUAUAUCUGCAACUAAGAACCUCCAACUACCGUUCAUAGAAGAUAUAUUUGCAUCAGGGCGCACAAGAUUUUUGGAAUGGGUGGUUUCGGAAAAUCAGGUGAUCGACAGCCCUUCAACCAUUGAAUCAACAUAUUGAAGACCAAUUUCUGCUGCCUCUCUUUAGAAGAAAAUGAUGGAAGAUUAUGAGAAGGCCAAGCAAGAAUUGGCAGAGAGUUCAGGAAUUGAACUAGAUCAUAUCACGGUCUCUAAACAACAGCAAUUAGAGAUCAUGGCUGCAGAACUUGGGGUUGCAAGGGGAAGAAGGAUACGAGGCUUGGGCUCUAAUCUGCGAGUGGAGAGUUCACGUGAUCGAACUACUGCUACUUCCUCUUUGGCUACAGAGCAAAAGGUGGAGGAGCUUCAGGGCACAGUUGGUGAGUUAAAGGGCACAGUAAGUGAGCUUCAGGGCACAGUUGGUAAACUUUUGGGUGUUAUUGAAUGGAUGCGAACCCAUGUGGGUGCUUUGCCCCCAGAUAUGGAUAUGGGUGUUCCUCCUCAGCAUGUUGGUGAUCCAACCUAUGGUGAUGAUGAUGAUGAUGAUGACAAUAUUAGUUUGGGUCACUAGUUUUUGGUUUUACUGAAUUGUCUUGAUGAUAUAGGCUUUGGCUAGUUUUUGGUUUUACUGAAUUGCCUUGAUGAUAUAUAUCCUCUUGUACAUGUUGAACUUCUAAAACUUUUAUUAAUGCCAGUCAAUUUUUGUUA